GGUGAACGCUGGCGGCGUGGAUGAGGCAUGCAAGUCGAAUGGGUUUAGACCCAUGGCAGACGAGGUAGGAACACGUAGGUACAUACCGAGAAGUCAGGGAUAACCUGGAGAAAUCCAGAAUAAUACUUGAUAGUCCCUUCGGGGUAAAGAUUUAUCGCUUCUUGAAUGGCCUGCGGUCUAUCAGCUUGAUGGUAAGGUAACGGCUUACCAUGGCUACGACGGAUAGGGGAGGUGAGAGCCUGGCCCCCACCGAUGGAACUGCGACACGGUCCAU
RNAcentral lists this ribosomal RNA (274 nucleotides) under uncultured bacterium. RNAcentral describes it as "partial 16S ribosomal RNA". It matches the Rfam family "Bacterial small subunit ribosomal RNA", at positions 28 to 334 of the family's 1533-position model. The record is from RNAcentral.